RNAcentral lists this ribosomal RNA (407 nucleotides) under uncultured bacterium. RNAcentral's name for it is "partial 16S ribosomal RNA". It matches the Rfam family "Bacterial small subunit ribosomal RNA", at positions 30 to 526 of the family's 1533-position model. The record is from RNAcentral.
AUUGAACGCUGGCGGCAGGCCUAACACAUGCAAGUCGAGCGGAGCGGAGGUCGGGUGCGUAAUGCCUAGGACUCUGCCUGGUAGUGGUGGAUAACGUCCGGUACCGGGCGCUAAUACCGCUUACUCUCAGAUGAGCCUAGGUCGGAUUAGCUAGUUGGUGGGGUAAAGGCCUCCCAAGGCGACGAUCCGUAGCUGGGCUUAGAGGAUGAUCAGUCAAACUGGAACUGAGACACGGUCCAGACUCCUACGGGAGGCAGCAGUGGGGAAUAUUGGACAAGUGGCGAAAGCCUGAUCCAGCCAUGCCGCGUGUGUGAAGAAGGUCUUCGGAUUGUAAAGCACUUUAAGUUGGGAGGCGUUACCAACAGAAGAAGCACCGGCUAACUUCGUGCCAGCAGCCGCGGUAAUAC